AUUGAACGCUGGCGGCAUGCCUUACACAUGCAAGUCGAACGGUAGCACGGGAGCAAUCCUGGUGGCGAGUGGCGAACGGGUGAGUAAAGUAUCGGAACGUGCCCAGUCGUGGGGGAUAACGUAGCGAAAGUUACGCUAAUACCGCAUACGAUCUAUGGAUGAAAGCGGGGGAUCGCAAGACCUCGCGCGAUUGGAGCGGCCGAUAUCAGAUUAGGUAGUUGGUGGGGUAAAGGCUCACCAAGCCGACGAUCUGUAGCUGGUCUGAGAGGACGACAGCCACACUGGGACUGAGACACGGCCCAGACUCCUACGGGAGGCAGCAGUGGGGAAUUUUGGACGAUGGGCGAAAGCCUGAUCCAGCCAUGCCGCGUGCAGGAUGAAGGCCUUCGGGUUGUAAACUGCUUUUGUACGGAACGAAAAGGUUUGGCCUAAUAAGCUGAGCUCAUGACGGUACCGUAAGAAUAAGCACCGGCUAACUACGUGCCAGCCGCCGCGGUAA
Molecule: ribosomal RNA, 499 nt
Filed under: uncultured bacterium
Lineage: Bacteria
Description: partial 16S ribosomal RNA
Rfam family: Bacterial small subunit ribosomal RNA
Source: RNAcentral